AAGAAACCAACAGGGAUUGCCCCAGUAACGGCGAGUGAAGCGGCAAGAGCUCAAAUUUGAAAUCUGGCCUCCUUCGGGGGUCCGAGUUGUAAUUUGUAGAGGAUGCUUCGGGUGUGGCCGCCGUCUAAGUUCCUUGGAACAGGACGUCAGAGAGGGUGAGAAUCCCGUCUUGGGCGGCUGGUCCGCGCCCGUGUGAAGCUCCUUCGACGAGUCGAGUUGUUUGGGAAUGCAGCUCUAAGCGGGUGGUAAAUUUCAUCUAAAGCUAAAUACUGGUCGGAGACCGAUAGCGCACAAGUAGAGUGAUCGAAAGGUUAAAAGCACCUUGAAAAGGGAGUUAAACAGCACGUGAAAUUGUUGAAAGGGAAGCGCUUGCGGCCAGACUCGGGGGCGGGGUUCAGCGGGUGCUCGUCGCCCGUGCACUCCCCGUCUCCCGGGCCAGCAUCAGUUUCGACGGCCGGUCAAAGGCCCCCGGAAUGUGUCGUCUCUCGGGACGUCUUAUAGCCGGGGGUGCAAUGCGGCCCGUUGGGACUGAGGAACGC
Molecule: ribosomal RNA, 539 nt
Filed under: Nannizzia gypsea
Lineage: Eukaryota; Fungi; Ascomycota; Eurotiomycetes; Onygenales; Arthrodermataceae
Description: eukaryotic LSU rRNA
Rfam family: Eukaryotic large subunit ribosomal RNA
Source: RNAcentral